RNAcentral lists this ribosomal RNA (545 nucleotides) under Hepatozoon canis. Its description in RNAcentral is "SSU rRNA". It matches the Rfam family "Eukaryotic small subunit ribosomal RNA", at positions 503 to 1045 of the family's 1831-position model. Lineage: Eukaryota; Apicomplexa; Hepatozoidae. The record is from RNAcentral.
UUGUAAUUGGAAUGAUAGAAAUUUAAACCCUUUUUAAAGUAUCAAUUGGAGGGCAAGUCUGGUGCCAGCAGCCGCGGUAAUUCCAGCUCCAAUAGCGUAUAUUAAAAUUGUUGCAGUUAAAAAGCUCGUAGUUGAAGUUCUGCUGAAAGUAACCGGUCUGCUUUUAAUAAAAGUGGUAUCUUGGUAUGUAUUUAGCAAUGAUGUCCUUUGAAGUGUUUUUUACUUUAUUGUAAUAAAGCAUAUUCAGGACUUUUACUUUGAGAAAAAUUAGAGUGUUUCUAGCAGGCUGACGCUUUGAAUACUGCAGCAUGGAAUAAUAAGAUAGGAUUUUAGUUCUACAUUAUUGGUUUUAAGAGCUAAAUUAAUGAUUGAUAGGGACAGUUGGGGGCAUUUGUAUUUAACUGUCAGAGGUGAAAUUCUUAGAUUUGUUAAAGACAAACUACUGCGAAAGCAUUUGCCAAAGAUGUUUUCAUUAAUCAAGAACGAAAGUUAGGGGAUCGAAGACGAUCAGAUACCGUCGUAGUCUUAACUAUAAACUAUGCCGA